AUUGAACGCUGGCGGAAUGCUUUACACAUGCAAGUCGAACGGCAGCAUAGGUGCUUGCACCUGAUGGCGAGUGGCGAACGGGUGAGUAAUACAUCGGAACGUGCCCAGUCGUGGGGGAUAACGUAGCGAAAGUUACGCUAAUACCGCAUACGAUCUAGGGAUGAAAGCGGGGGACCGGAAGGCCUCGCGCGAUUGGAGCGGCCGAUGUCAGAUUAGGUAGUUGGUGAGGUAAAGGCUCACCAGGCCGACGAUCUGUAGCUGGUCUGAGAGGACGACCAGCCACACUGGGACUGAGACACGGCCCAGACUCCUACGGGAGGCAGCAGUGGGGAAUUUUGGACAAUGGACGCAAGUCUGAUCCAGCCAUUCCGCGUGCAGGACGAAGGCCUUCGGGUUGUAAACUGCUUUUGUACGGAACGAAAAAGCUCUUACUAAUACUAGGAGUCCAUGACGGUACCGUAAGAAUAAGCACCGGCUAACUACGUGCCAGCAGCCGCCGUAA
This 502-nucleotide ribosomal RNA is filed under the name uncultured bacterium. Its description in RNAcentral is "partial 16S ribosomal RNA". It matches the Rfam family "Bacterial small subunit ribosomal RNA", at positions 30 to 523 of the family's 1533-position model. The record is from RNAcentral.